AUUUUACUAUACAACAGAUCAACGAAGUAAUCAACUUUAUUAUACAACAGAUCAACGAAGUAAUCAACUUUACUAUACAACAGAUCAACGAAGUAAUCAACUUUACUAUACAACAGUUCAACGAAGUAAUCAACUAAACUAUACAACAGAUCAACGAAGUAAUCAACUUUACUAUACAACAGAUCAACGAAGUAAUCAACUAUACUAUACAACAGAUCAACGAAGUAAUCAACUUUAUUAUCCAACAGAUAAACGAAGUAAUCAACUAUAUUAUACAACAGAUCAACGAAGUAAUCAACUUUAUUAUACAACAGAUCAACGAAGUAAUCAACUUUACAACAGAUCAACGAAG
RNAcentral lists this long non-coding RNA (352 nucleotides) under Mytilus galloprovincialis (Mediterranean mussel). The record is from RNAcentral. Lineage: Eukaryota; Metazoa; Mollusca; Bivalvia; Mytilida; Mytilidae.